UUUUUUUUUUUUUGGCUUCUUUGUGAAUUGGAGUGUCAUCCUGAGCCUUGUGCUGACCUGAAGCUGGUUUUUGGUUGCUGUGGGGUCAGAGCCCUGUUUGGUCUUUGGGAGGGACAGAUUCCCCAUUCUAUCACCCAGUAAAAGGGAAAAAGCCCUUUUCCCUUGCUGUUGGCUCCAGGAAUGUCUUUCUGAAUCUCAUCAAAGCCUCCCUGAUAUUGCUGCUGGAGUUCUGAGUGGUUCUGGGCAGCACUUCUCCCACCAGUGCUGCUGGUUGAGGCUGGGAGAGCCCGGUGAUCCCGUUGGAAGUCAGAUCCUGUGGGAUGACACGAUGCCACCGUGCCACCAUGGGACAGGGAAACCCAGGAGCAUCAGAUUUAAACUCAGUUUAGUUUCACAGCAGUUCUGUGGAAGGGUGACGAGUCAAAGUCAGUUGUGACCAUUUUCCUGACACAAUGCCUUGGCUGUCUUCCUCUUGGUCUUUAUGAUCUUCCCAAACCCGGGAAGCGGGAGAUACGUGCAGUACUUCUUUCAUUUUAGUUUGUUGGUUUUUUUUCUUAGUGUCGAUUUAAAAAGUGCCUAAGUGAGGAACAGGACUCCAGAGUGAGCUGGAGGAAUAGGAUUAGACCUCAUUUCCCUCUUGAGAAAAGAGCCCUCCCUGCAUCCCUCUGCAUAUCCCUCCAAUGAGUCCGGCUGGAAAAACUCCCCAUUCUUUCCUCGUGCUGCCCCCCUUGGUUCUCAGUCUUCUGGGAGGGGGAUCUCGUUCCUCAGCCGAACGUUUGCAGUCUCUGAUCUGGGGUGGAUGGCAAAGAGGAUGGAAUUCAGAAGGAAACUGCCUCUUGGAUUGCAGAUACAAAGAGCUCUGUGUGAUAAAACGCCCACCUUUGGAAAACCAGAUCUGGCCAUGGGCAGGGACAUCUCCCACUAUCCCAGGUUGCUCCAAGUCCCAUCCAACCUGGCCUGGAACAUUUCCAGGGAUGGGGCAGCCAGAACCUCUCUGGAAUCCCAAAGGCAGUUUCUUCCUAUAUUCUUAAUUAUUUCUAGGUUUGUCAUAGUAGAACCUGCUAAACAUUUUGUCCAAAUAACCCUAAACUAUCAGCAGGUGGUUAUAAUUUUGUAAAGGUGAGAAUUUUAUGUGGAUUUAAAGAAUAAAAGUAUCAGUGGUAGAUUAUAAUAUUUCAUUAAAAGAGGAUUUCUUCUGACCACAGUGAGAGGAGGUAACAAACACUAUGAAGGAGUUUUAGUACCACUUAAGGGUUCAGCAAAUAAAAGCAAGCCGUGUGUAGAUGUUUUAUUUUUCAUUAGCAACAAAAUGUUUUCACUCUGAGGUGGGAAGGCCUGGGAAGGGACUGUUGGCAAGGAAAGCUUUGAGGACAUCUCUGCAGAGGGCAGACACUCAGCCUCUGGGGAGGGGAUGGGUGCUGAUAGAAGCAGUGAUCCUGUGGGAAUCCAUUGCUGAUGGAAAUCAGGAGAUUCCUGAUGGAAAUCCACUGUUCGUGGAGCCUGUGGCACGCACGGACCUUGGCCCUGCUCCGAGAUGCCUUUUGGAAGUGUGACAAGUGACAAAUGGCUGUCCUGGCAGCGGAUGGGUGCUGCAGUUGCAAACCCACGAGCGAGGGCACGGUGGAACAGCCUCGGAGCCACAUGGAAACAACAAAACCCCAACCAAGGCCGGGGAGGUUCCUCACAUCCCAAUUCUCUGUGUCUCCACUUUGUCCCACCGUGACCUCGACCCGGGGCCAGCUCCACUUCUCCUGCCUGGGCCGUGCUGGGAUGGCUCCAGCUGCCUCCUGUCACUGUCACCAGAUAAAUCAGUGACACCCAGGACCCCAUCCCUGCCCUGGCCUCUCCCACCCAGCUGCUGCUUCGCCCCAGCUGGGCCGUGUCUCAUCUGCUGUAGGUUCCUGCCUACCUCAAGGGGUAACCAUGGGAUCCUGGAGUGGUGUGGUCACCCUCUGGUCGGUUUUCCAUGAGCACUAGCGCACACUCACACACACUCACACACACACUGGAAUGUAUAUUCUCCUCCCCCCUAGCCCCCAAAUAACCUCUUGACCUGAUCCUUGCUGUAGCCACCACCAACUCCUCUUGCAAAUUGGAUGCUGCUUUAAAUGUGAAAACAAAUGUUCAAGAAGCUAUAAAACCUGAAUGAAAGCUAAAGCUGAAUUUAUAAAGCCUUGUUGCAUAUGAGCCAAAAGUGCAAAAAGCUCUAUAUAAUGAACUAACCUGCCACUCAUAUAAAUAUAAAUAUAUAUAAAUAUAUUAAAAUCAGACUGUUCUACAAAAUUGUGUAUUUGUAUUUUUGUGUACGUACAAUUUUCUGCUAAGCAGAAGGAGGAUGUAGUAUAGGAUGAUGUGAGAAGAGAUUUUGUUUAAUCAUAUUUCUUUGUUACUUAUUUUUGUUAACAUCCAGAUGCCUGUCUUUGUCUUAUGUGUAUGACACUGUUCCAAAGGUGCAGUAUCCCUCUCCUGCCGCGCGUCCAACCUCCUUCCUCCACAGGGAACGAGUCAGGUGAUGCCCCCUCAUCAUCAUCAUCAUCAUCCUCAUCCCCUUCGGAUCCACCCUGAUCUUGAUCUUAAGGGCUGCUCCUUCAGCUGAAAGACGAGAUGCUUCAUUUCCCAGCGUGGUGAAGUUGAAUAUUCAUGUUCUGGUUGCACGUAGUUGUUCCCUAAACACGUUUCCAUGCUCUGCUGCUGCUCCUCAGCCUGACAUUUUGGGGGGAAAAAUCGGAUUGGAUAGGUUGGGAGGGAGGAUGAGCAGAUCCUCGUGGUGGGAAGUUGCUGAUGGAGAAGAAAGUGCCGGGGUGGUCCCGGGGUGAACCUUGGUCACCCCCCACGGGGGAUGGAGGAACCUCGUGGUCCCCAUGCUGGCUGCUCUCGGGGGGCUUGGCUGUCAGGAAGGAAGGCUGGGGAGGUGAUGGGUUAUAAAACUCUCCCUGUGCCCCCUCAGGAACAUCCACCCCUGCACCCUGGUGGCUUUGGGGCACUUUGGCUCUUUGCUUUGGGAGGGUUGGAGCAGCCUGGAGAGGUGUCCAUCUGUUCAUGCCAGAUCCCCUUGCAGUGAAGGCACUGAGUGGUGAGAAGAACAUUCCAAACUCUUCUCCCAGUCACUGCCUUUAUCUGUGAGGUGCUGGUGGCUCCCUGCCAGGAGGAAAGGAACAGUGUAGGAAACCUGGGAACCCUUGGUGUGCUUGGGAAUCAUUAUUUAUCCAUCACAGAGAACUGUCCAGGGAAACAAAGGGCCAAAGGAGACGGGAUAGAACAGAUCUAGUGGAGUAUCACCUUCAGUCCCACCACAGCCCCUUGAGGAAACUGGUCCAGCCUCCAUCCCAAAUGCAGGUGAGGGUCAAUGUCCAUCACACCUUCCCCUGGCAGCAGCUGCUGUAAAAUGAACCAUCAACCUCUCCCCUUGUUCCGUUUUUUUUUUUUAAUUUAAUCCCUGUCUUUGUCAGAGCCGACCCGCGGCCGGGGGGAGAGCGAUACUGCACCUUUCUACGUAGGGCUCAUAUUUAUAACAAUGUGUAAUGACUGUAGCAAAGUCCUUGUUUCUGUAUGUGAAUGGACAGAGAAACAAGUGCUCUAUUGUAUUGAUUAAAAUAGUUCAAAUGAGUCCUGUAUCAUUGUAUCUCCUAUUCUGGAUUAGUGCCUUUUGGACAGUAGACUGUUCUGUAAUUAAAAUGUAGUAUAACUGCUUUUUUGUACAGUUUUGUUUUAAUAAAACUUUUUUUUAAUUUGUGUUUAUUUUAGUAUUGUACCUAUUAG
This 3759-nucleotide long non-coding RNA is filed under the name Taeniopygia guttata (zebra finch). RNAcentral's name for it is "lncRNA (ENSTGUG00000024438.1)". Lineage: Eukaryota; Metazoa; Chordata; Aves; Passeriformes; Estrildidae. The record is from RNAcentral.